Molecule: ribosomal RNA, 370 nt
Filed under: uncultured organism
Description: partial 16S ribosomal RNA
Rfam family: Bacterial small subunit ribosomal RNA
Source: RNAcentral
GGAGGGUGCAAGCGUUAAUCGGAAUUACUGGGCGUAGAGAGCGCGUAGGUGGUUUUUUAAGUUGGAUGUGAAAUCCCUGGGCUUAACCUGGGGCUGUCAUUCAAUACUGGAUAACUAGAGUGCAGUAGAGGGAAGUGGAAUUUCCGGUGUAGCGGUGAAAUGCGUAGAUAUCGGAAGGAACAUCAGUGGCGAAGGCGACUUCCUGGACUGAUACUGACACUGAGGCGCGAAAGCGUGGGGAGCAAACAGGAUUAGAUACCCUGGUAGUCCACGCCGUAAACGAUGAGAACUAGCCCGUUUGAUAGUUAAACUAUUGAGUGGCGCAGCUAACGCGUUAAGUUCUCCGCCUGGGGAUACGGCCGCAAGGUUA